ACAUUUAACAUAACAAACUUGGACCACAUUACGAUUAUGUAGGAAGUUUUACCUGAAUGGGAUGCACCAGGAUAGCCAGAUGGUGGAUAGCCGUGAGGGGGGUAUCCUCCUUGAGGAGGGUAGCCAGCUGGUGGAUAGCCUUGAGGUGGGUAAGCUCCAGCAGGUGGAUAUCCGCCAGGAGGUGGAGGGUAUGCACCAGGAGGGUGUCCAUGACCACCAUGACUAAGACCAUGAGCAAGAUGUGAAAACAGACCCUUAUCAUCAGGCUUAUGCUUGUCCUUCCCCAUGAUUUCUCAACCAAUAAUCACUUC
Molecule: long non-coding RNA, 311 nt
Filed under: Gossypium barbadense (sea-island cotton)
Lineage: Eukaryota; Viridiplantae; Streptophyta; Magnoliopsida; Malvales; Malvaceae
Description: long non-coding RNA (GBAR_LNC007570)
Source: RNAcentral